Molecule: ribosomal RNA, 323 nt
Filed under: Weissella confusa
Lineage: Bacteria; Bacillati; Bacillota; Bacilli; Lactobacillales; Lactobacillaceae
Description: bacterial SSU rRNA
Rfam family: Bacterial small subunit ribosomal RNA
Source: RNAcentral
UCAACUGAUUUGAAGAGCUUGCUCAGAUAUGACGAUGGACAUUGCAAAGAGUGGCGAACGGGUGAGUAACACGUGGGAAACCUACCUCUUAGCAGGGGAUAACAUUUGGAAACAGAUGCUAAUACCGUAUAACAAUGACAACCGCAUGGUUGUUAUUUAAAAGAUGGUUCUGCUAUCACUAAGAGAUGGUCCCGCGGUGCAUUAGCUAGUUGGUAAGGUAAUGGCUUACCAAGGCGAUGAUGCAUAUCCGAGUUGAGAGACUGAUCGGCCACAAUGGGACUGAGACACGGCCCAUACUCCUACUGGAGGCAAGGUCUGGAAUC